This 564-nucleotide ribosomal RNA is filed under the name Streptomyces sp. 411B12. Its description in RNAcentral is "bacterial SSU rRNA". It matches the Rfam family "Bacterial small subunit ribosomal RNA", at positions 93 to 671 of the family's 1533-position model. The record is from RNAcentral. Lineage: Bacteria; Bacillati; Actinomycetota; Actinomycetes; Kitasatosporales; Streptomycetaceae. RNAcentral also lists the same sequence under 6 other names.
UAGUGGCGAACGGGUGAGUAACACGUGGGCAAUCUGCCCUUCACUCUGGGACAAGCCCUGGAAACGGGGUCUAAUACCGGAUAAUACUUCUGCCUGCAUGGGCGGGGGUUGAAAGCUCCGGCGGUGAAGGAUGAGCCCGCGGCCUAUCAGCUUGUUGGUGGGGUGAUGGCCUACCAAGGCGACGACGGGUAGCCGGCCUGAGAGGGCGACCGGCCACACUGGGACUGAGACACGGCCCAGACUCCUACGGGAGGCAGCAGUGGGGAAUAUUGCACAAUGGGCGAAAGCCUGAUGCAGCGACGCCGCGUGAGGGAUGACGGCCUUCGGGUUGUAAACCUCUUUCAGCAGGGAAGAAGCGAAAGUGACGGUACCUGCAGAAGAAGCGCCGGCUAACUACGUGCCAGCAGCCGCGGUAAUACGUAGGGCGCAAGCGUUGUCCGGAAUUAUUGGGCGUAAAGAGCUCGUAGGCGGCUUGUCGCGUCGGAUGUGAAAGCCCGGGGCUUAACCCCGGGUCUGCAUUCGAUACGGGCAGGCUAGAGUGUGGUAGGGGAGAUCGGAAUUCCU